This 253-nucleotide ribosomal RNA is filed under the name uncultured bacterium. Its description in RNAcentral is "partial 16S ribosomal RNA". It matches the Rfam family "Bacterial small subunit ribosomal RNA", at positions 524 to 776 of the family's 1533-position model. The record is from RNAcentral.
UACGUAGGGUGCAAGCGUUAAUCGGAAUUACUGGGCGUAAAGCGUGCGCAGGCGGUGAUGUAAGACAGGUGUGAAAUCCCCGGGCUUAACCUGGGAACUGCAUUUGUGACUGCAUCGCUGGAGUGCGGCAGAGGGGGAUGGAAUUCCGCGUGUAGCAGUGAAAUGCGUAGAUAUCGGGAGGAAUACCGAUGGCGAAGGCAGGUCUCUGGGCUGACACUGACGCUCAUGCACGAAAGCGUGGGGAGCAAACAGG